This 565-nucleotide ribosomal RNA is filed under the name uncultured Actinomycetes bacterium. RNAcentral describes it as "bacterial SSU rRNA". It matches the Rfam family "Bacterial small subunit ribosomal RNA", at positions 1 to 584 of the family's 1533-position model. Lineage: Bacteria; Bacillati; Actinomycetota; Actinomycetes. The record is from RNAcentral.
GCCCUUAGAGUUUGAUCCUGGCUCAGGACGAACGCUGGCGGCGUGCUUAACACAUGCAAGUCGAGCGGAAAGGCCCUUCGGGGUACUCGAGCGGCGAACGGGUGAGUAACACGUGAGCAACCUGCCCCAGGCUUUGGGAUAACCCCGGGAAACCGGGGCUAAUACCGAAUAUUACCUCUGAUCGCAUGGUUGGUGGUGGAAAGUUUUUCGGCUUGGGAUGGGCUCGCGGCCUAUCAGCUUGUUGGUGGGGUGAUGGCCUACCAAGGCGACGACGGGUAGCCGGCCUGAGAGGGCGACCGGCCACACUGGGACUGAGACACGGCCCAGACUCCUACGGGAGGCAGCAGUGGGGAAUAUUGCACAAUGGGCGGAAGCCUGAUGCAGCGACGCCGCGUGAGGGAUGACGGCCUUCGGGGUUGUAAACCUCUUUCAGCAGGGACGAAGCGUAAGUGACGGUACCUGCAGAAGAAGCGCCGGCCAACUACGUGCCAGCAGCCGCGGUAAGACGUAGGGCGCGAGCGUUGUCCGGAUUUAUUGGGCGUAAAGAGCUCGUAGGCGGCUUGUC